Molecule: transfer RNA, 73 nt
Filed under: Canis lupus familiaris (dog)
Lineage: Eukaryota; Metazoa; Chordata; Mammalia; Carnivora; Canidae
Also listed under: 1 other name
Rfam family: tRNA
About the family: Transfer RNA (tRNA) molecules are approximately 80 nucleotides in length. Their secondary structure includes four short double-helical elements and three loops (D, anti-codon, and T loops).
Source: Rfam by way of RNAcentral
GCCUGGAUGGCUCAGUCUGUUGAGCUUGGGACUCUUGAUCUCAGGGCUGUAGGUUCGAGCCCUACAUUGGGUG